AUUAAUUUUUUUUUUAUAGCUACCAGGCUAGCAGUUACUCUUUUUGUUGAAUUGACAUUUAAUAGUAUACAGAAUUUAUGAAGAUAUUUUCAUUUCCUUCGAAAGAUUUUUUUCGGAUUUGUGGCACUAGAGAGAAAUUGUCAAUUAACAUUACAGAUUCCAAAUGCCUGAUAAGUGAUAACACAAGUCAGAAGACACUUGGAGGAAGAUGAGAGCUUGGAGGUAUCUGGAAGCUCACCCAACAUAAUUAACAAGCUUAGGAUGCCGAUCCAAUCACCUUUUAACCAUGUAUUAUUAUUAUUACCUUGUCUCAUCACGACACUGACAAUUCAAUAAAUAUCUAUAUUAUUUUAUUAUAAA
Solanum pennellii is the source of this 360-nucleotide long non-coding RNA. RefSeq lists it as uncharacterized. NCBI's taxonomy places the organism in Eukaryota, Viridiplantae, Streptophyta, Magnoliopsida, Solanales, Solanaceae. The record is from RefSeq and is a predicted model, not a curated record. The transcript is spliced from 2 exons.